CUGCGCCGCCAAGGUUGUGAUGCUCCUGCUCGCCGCGCCGCCACCGGGUGGCCGGGAAGUACUACUCGCCGCGUCGCUGCCGGGAGGCCGCGAAGCUUCUGUUCGCCGUGCCACCAAGGACCUUCGGGUUUCUAGAGGAGGCAGCAGUAUGUAGAGGGGAUGAGUGUUGUUCUUCCAUCAAGCUGUUGUCCAGUGCCCAUUGAAGGGGCCUUUGCUUGCAGCCACAGCAUAGGCUUCUAAAAAAUCCAGAGCGUCGGUGGCCAGUUCUCCCUCUCACACGGUUAAAAAGAAAGUUCUUGCUCUUAAUUUCAUUCCAGAGAAUGGUCUAUUGGAGCUGCUUUCCGUUCGCUGGAGUAACUGAGUUAUAGCAUGUGAUGCUUUUUUACCUCAGGUUUAAUACUAGUAUAAUAUAGCAUGGUUUCUAUCUUAAAAUAAUAAUUCUGCUAUCUGAAGCGAGAGAUGGUGCUGGAGCAGAUAGAAGAUUUUUUUGUUUCAGAAAUUUGUUGCCAACACCCUUACUAAAUAUACACACCCUUUUCGCUUGAAAAUGAUAGUUUGCAAGAGAUUUUGGAGGUUGCAAAAAAGCAAGUAUGUGAGCCAGAAGGCAUCGCACACGUGCAUCGCCAUUCCAGAGCUGCGCGGCAUUAUUUGCUGACGGCUUAUUGGAGCUGCGCGGCAGCCGGAAACCUCGACGUCUCGUACAUACUCGGAAUGGUAUGAUCGAUUUUCGCAGUAACAAAAACACCAUCUCCUCGUUUUUGCUCCAAUUAGAUAUUACAAGGAAUCUGAUCUUUUUUUCCCGUCGCGCGUUCCAGAUGUUUCUGCUGCAUUUGACUCUCCUCUGGUUCUGCCGCCCCUAAAACUUCUUUUUUGGUGGAUCGUGUUUUUUUUCUGUUUUUGUCAGAUUUCACGGAUAGCCUCAUCUUUGGUGAUUUUUUUAUUUUAUUUUUUAAGAUCCACUAAUUCGUGCAAACUGGUGUUUCAACCUGUUCUCAUGUUCUUCCGCAAAAAAAAACUUGUUCUCAUGUUUGUCUAGAUCAUGUAAUUUUGUUGGAUGAUAGAGCUAGUUCAUGUAUUUCAAUUGGAUGUGAGAGCAAAUUGCAAAGAAUGGUUUCCAUAUUUGUUCUUUGUACAACACAGUUUCUUUCCAUAGUAGAAAUGCAUCUUGUGAUUUUAGAGUAUGUUCUGUUCGUUUUCCAAUCUAUUCCGUGUAUGAGAAAAGGAAUGGUGGUUGCCAUUUCUGUACAGCUGUCUCGAUGGGGGCUUUUCCUCCACCAUGACCAGGCCGCGCGACCCUGCCCUCCGCGUCACCAUCUUGUUCCUGGUCGGGGAGGCGCUGCCCUCGACCUGGCCAAGAAGACCAAGUCCACGCGCAUCUCCGGUGCGACUACAGAGCUGAGGGUAUGCCGGAGGCGGGCGCGCUGAGCGGUGGCGGAGGGAGCGCUGGCGGCGACAAGAGCUCCUCGCCCAUCCCAACCGGUCUCGUGCUUCCGCUCGGAGUUCCACUCGAGCGCCUACGCGGGGAGGCAGCAAUGCCUGCAUCCCUUGGUAACGAGCCAGGCAUCCCCAGAUUUGAUGGUGUUCCUUCCAAGAUCACAUUCUUGUAACUGGGCAGCUUCACAAUAUGGAUAGUUUUCCUUAUUUUUGCUUUUUUACUUUUGCUUUUCCCUCUUUGUUCCAAUAAGUCUACUCAGAUCAGCUGGGGUGAUUUUCCUUUUUACGCUUCCUGGAUUGGUGCUGUUAUUAUUUUUGACUAUAGGCCAUGUUCAAUGCACACGAAUUGCAGAUUCAAAAACGUGUUCAUAAUCCA
This is a long non-coding RNA of Lolium rigidum, 1810 nucleotides long. RefSeq lists it as uncharacterized. The record is from RefSeq and is a predicted model, not a curated record. The transcript is spliced from 2 exons. NCBI's taxonomy places the organism in Eukaryota, Viridiplantae, Streptophyta, Magnoliopsida, Poales, Poaceae.